Budorcas taxicolor (takin) is the source of this 532-nucleotide long non-coding RNA. RefSeq lists it as uncharacterized. NCBI's taxonomy places the organism in Eukaryota, Metazoa, Chordata, Mammalia, Artiodactyla, Bovidae. The record is from RefSeq and is a predicted model, not a curated record. The transcript has 5 exons.
CUCCUCCGUCCAUGGGAUUUUCCGCUACAACGGUUCAAGUCUCAAUCUGAGGUGGCCGGUUUUAUCAUGGUGCUGGCAGAGAGAGAGGCCAAAGGAUUUAUUCCUUGCCUGAGUGCUUUCUUCCCUUCAUCUCGUACAUUUGAAAUUUUCUUUGACCUCUGAAGACUUAUGUUGCCUGAGGAAGCCCUGAAGUUAAGGAAGAGGAAAGCGAAGGAGUGAGGCAUGGCUCUUUCUGAGGAACAACUGACCUCUGAGGACGUGGCCAUCGAAUUCACUCAGGAGGAGUGGGGAUUCCUGGACGCUGCUCAGAGGGCCUUGUACAGGGACGUGAUGCUGGAGACCUACAGGAACCUGCUGUCCGUGGAGCAUGGGGGAAUCUUACCUCCCUGACCCAGGCAUUGAACCUGCACCCUCUGCAUUGGAAGCUGAAGUCUUAACCACCAGGCCACCAGGGAAGUCCCUACGUUGUCUUAUUUUUUUGCCUCACAUGUGUAUAUGACAAUUUAAAAUAAAGUAAUAAAUAACAUGUAUU